ACGUAGGUGGCGAGCGUUAUUCGGAAUUACUGGGCGUAAAGCGUGUGUAGGCGGGACUUUAAGUCGGGUGUUAAAGCUCAUGGCUCAACGCUGAAAGUCCGGGGGAUACUGAGCGACUUGAGUGCUGUAGAGGAAAGUGGAAUUCCAGGUGUAGCGGUGAAAUGCGUAGAUAUCUGGAAGAACGCCAACGGCGAAAGCAGGUUUCUGGGCCGUAUCUGACGCUGAGACACGAAAGCUAGGGGAGCAAACAG
This 251-nucleotide ribosomal RNA is filed under the name uncultured prokaryote. RNAcentral describes it as "partial 16S rRNA". It matches the Rfam family "Bacterial small subunit ribosomal RNA", at positions 525 to 775 of the family's 1533-position model. The record is from RNAcentral.